CUUUUGAACCUAACUCCAGGACAUGGCCCAAGAUCAGAGCUGCCAGACCUCAACACCCUGCCUACCAUACCGUGGAGAAACUGGAGCCCUGGACGAUCUAAUCUUAACUGGCCACCAAGAAAAGUUUGUCUGCCUUAUUGGGAGUGCCUGCCUACCCACUGGGCCAAAUUCUCUGCCAGAGUAAAUUGGUGCAACUCUGUUACUUUCAAUAUUGUUUCAUCCAUUUUAACCAGCUCCUUCCUCUACCAACAAACAGGAAAGUCCACAAUGGGAGUUUGGAAAAUCAAGUAUCUUCAAC
Mauremys mutica (yellowpond turtle) is the source of this 298-nucleotide long non-coding RNA. RefSeq lists it as uncharacterized. The transcript has 3 exons. The record is from RefSeq and is a predicted model, not a curated record. NCBI's taxonomy places the organism in Eukaryota, Metazoa, Chordata, Testudines, Geoemydidae.